Molecule: unclassified non-coding RNA, 5902 nt
Filed under: Leishmania donovani
Lineage: Eukaryota; Euglenozoa; Kinetoplastea; Trypanosomatida; Trypanosomatidae
Description: gene:LdHU3.31.5350(CDS-product:hypothetical_prote in_conserved)
Source: RNAcentral
UGCGCGUGCUGCCCUUGUGCUGCUGCAGAACGCGUCUGCCUGGGCCUUGCUCACGGCUUUUGCUCGAGCAUAGUAGACCCCACCCUCACUGUUGAAAGGGAGAAGAAGGCUCACGCGGACGCCGAGACUCCUGUCAGUCUGUGGGCGGAUGCAGCAGCCUCCUUGUUAGGCUAGAUCAGCCGCUGCCUCAUCUCUCCAACUUCUCUCCUUCGACUUGUGAGAACAGCAACGGCAUCAUCGUCGGACACCCUCCACACUAGAACAUCCUCCAUCACUGCGAGUGCACAUACAAGGCUGGGCGCGCAACGGCGGCUUUGCGAGUCUCGUGACGGCUCUUCCUCACGCACCGGCCUCAUUCUUUCAUCUUUUUUGUGUGCUUAUCUUCCCUUUUCUCGCUUUUCCCUUCUUCGUCGCUCGCUCGCUCUCUGCGUCCAUCUUUGGCGACGAGAUGGAGCACAACGGCGUGAAGCCUCCGAUGCCACAGCUGCGGCUUCCGGCCGACUACGCGUACAACCCCCUCUACUUCGUGCCCAAUUCGAACGCUGUCUCCGAGGGCGGCAUUGGCGAGGACGAUGCUGUGGAGCCGCUACACCGUCUAUCGCACGCCGUGCUGCCGGCCACCACCUACCUGCACCGUCCACUGCAUUUCUCACCGUCGCCAUCGAACGCCACGCCGGUGCGCAGUCACGACAACCGGUCUCGCAGCAGGGAGAGCAGCCUCACCCGCAGAUCGGGCGAAUUGUCCCCUGCGGCAGCAUCCGCGCGACGACAGAGACGCUCGAUGUCGAUGGCAGCCUCACACGCGGCGCGGCGGAGACGCGGUCACGCGCUGACGCAGGAGGUCGCCGCAUGGCAGCGCCGCUCCGGUAAAGACUGCGCGGACCAGUCGUCAGUGGCGACACCGUCGCAGGAGGUUACUGCGGAUACGAUGCAUGCCGAUCUUAGCACCUCCAUACUUCGGCCUACCCGUGCCACUCAACUGCGCGAAGACUACGUUCUCCACUACAUCGAGGAGCGCGACGAGGCGGCGCAGAACAUCUUUUUUCGCCCGAAAGGGUGGCCUCUGUCAGGGGCCGCGCUGAACAGCCCGUAUAGACAGCACUGCACUUCUUCGGCUUCUCCGUUGCGCAACGGUUUCCUCACGCCAACGCGCCCGGAAAACAGCAGUGCGGCUUCUUUGCCAACGCCGCGAUUCACGAAAGCCGCGCAACUCCGGCAACAGUCCGCGGUUCAGCUAAUGGAGAAGCUGGAGAGGUGUGAAUUGGAGAAGGCAGCGGAGGAGGCCUUGGCGCAUGUAGUCGCCGAGUCAAGCUCCCGCCGGGCAUUGAUGCGACUGAGGACCGGCGCUCAUUCGAACUCAUCCUCCCGGUUCCUCGCCGUGCAGCGCAGCGGCGGUGCGCGCGGUGCGAGUACUGCGAUGCCUUUCAGCGGCACGCAGCCAUCGCAUCAUGUACCGCGCUGGCACCACACUUCCCGCACAGGAUCAUCUGGUGACACUAUCAACGGUGCGGGCCAUCGGAUAAGGGCGACGAGCAGUGCUUCCACGCAUUCUUCUCCAAGAGAGGAGUGGCUGUCUGCCGCCUCGACCUGCUUUGAUGACAGAGAGAAAACCCUGAACAAGCAGCAGCACGCCGCCGAAGCGACACACGCGCCAUCCAGAGGUCUGGUGCCGGAUGCCCCGGCGCCGCUGCCGAGCUCGAAGUACCGCUCUUGCAGAAUAAGCAAGGAGGCACUCAAGGCUCCCCGCGGAGAGCUGAGUUCUGCGAAGGCCACUGAGGCAAUGGCGGUGCUACCUAAGCCUGCCGCAUGUAACGGAGGCGAGCGCGUGCCGUCUCGCCACCAUCGUCGUCGCCGCUGCUCAUACGCGGCCCAGCGCGAUUCUGAAAGCCUUUCACCUGUGGCUAUCCGAGACGUGCGCGACACCGCCCACCCCUCUCCGUCGACAGCUGCGUUAGCUUCACCGCCAGCUGCUGUGCACCGGGAGCGUGAGCAGCGUGGCAUCCGUACCCCACCGGCGGUUCGGGACACAGAAACAAAGAUGACAUCACGUGGGGAUGCUCCACUGGCGCAGCGUGCGACCUCGUUAACGCCAUCGCAUUUGCGGGACGGUGACGACGCCUCGUCUUCCUCCGUGUCGUCCAUCAUGUUCACGGUGCUGUCUGCCCCUCAAGACGACACCGCAGGUGCACACCUGCCAGAGGCUCGGCACGACUGGCAGCAGGUCGCCACUCAGGGAAGUCGGAUGCGCGAAAGUGGUGACGCCGCAGAUGACAGCUCACUGGAAUUUCGAAGCACUGACCGAAGCGACUGCGAGCAUUCAGCGAGUCUCUUGGCAUGUUUGACACCUGUGGCUGCUGUGCCGCCCUCUGCCAUGCGAGGCGCGGAGUGCUCUUCUUUUACGUCGCCAGAUUUCUCCCGCGUGCCUUCGCCAACGCAGGCGAGCGCAUCCGUCACGAGUGACGAGGCGCGGGUGUCCGCUGCCACCGCCGUCGCGGCUCCUCAUGAACGAGAGACGAAGACUUCUUGUGCCGAGAGGGAGGUCGAGAGGACACCGCACGCUGUCGGAGCGAACGCGUCUCUAGCACCGCGACGACCUCUCGAGCAAGCGCUGCAGGGCACACGUGAAGAGCCCUCGGCACGCUCGAGUGCAAGAUGCCUUGGACGGCGUGGAGUUUGCCCGCCGCCAGUGGAUGCCUACCCGGCCCCGGCUCACACGCCUCACACACCUUCUACUGAACGUUCGGGUGACGUGAGUCGGAGAUCGCUUUCCCAGGACCCCUACCAUGCAGGUAGCUCUAUCUCUAGCAGGUCUGGCGAGUUUGAGGCGCAACCGCCGAGUCAGGGCGAGUCGACCGGCCGGAGUGCGCAGGUUGCUGCAACUACGCUUCCGCAGACCGUGCGGAGCGAGGUAGCAGAGGGCGAUUCGGAGAAGGAGCCGAGCGAUGCGGCAGAGGUGCGGCACGAGGGCUCCGCCUUGUCGACGCAAUCGUCGUUUGCGUCGAUUGCCUCCUACCACACGGAGGUGCACGUGCACAUUCCUGCGGUGGUGAGUGACGCCGCAGAUGAAUCUCUGGAAGCGGCCACAUCACAGACCGAGCUGCUAGCUUUCUACCGCAUCGCAAAGCCCUCGUCUGCAGCUGCCGAGUCGCGCCUUCACCGCCGCGCCGAGCAUGACUGGAGCCUCAAAUCGAACGUACGCGCAUCAUCUCAGGGGGACGAAGCCAGCAGAGCUGGCGAUGACAAGCAGGUGCUGCGUGGGCACGGCGGCGCCGUUCCCUCAUCGCCUUCGUGGCUGUUGAACGCUUCGGAGGGCAUCAGCUCUGCAUUGUGCGGGCUCGUCCCCUCUGCAGCAAGUGGCGAAAGCGAUGCCAGCCGGAGUGUGGCGACCGACGCAUACACGGUGGUCGCCGGUGGCGGCCGCCGCGUGCUUGCUGCGUGGAGUCUUCCAGUGCCGCCCACAAACUGCACACACAUGGUAGCCGCAAAGGAGGCGCGCCAGCGGGCAGCCGUCGAGGCUGGCCUCAGCAAGCUGUGUACCGCCUCGGAGCAGCCCAGUAGGCUUCUCUCCGGUCACAUCUCAGACAGCCGAAUAAGGCAACUCACAGCAGCUGGGGUGAACUCAGCGUCAUCGUAUCAGCCGCGAAGGGAGAGGCCAGUAGGGAAGGAGGCACUAGACUCGCCACGCAAGCCUAGCAUGCAGGAAAGCAGCCGCUGCACUUCUGCACCGCCGUCGGCAGCAGAGGCACCAAGCUCUCUAGUGGUAGCAUCUGCGGAGAACGGCACGAGAGACGAUGCCCGACCUGAGGUGGUGGCCGACAAGGCGGAGGCACUCGCCCAUGGAAAGACUACAGAUGAUGCGCCGAGUGCCGCUGUGUCUUUAGCCGACGUAGCCGUGCUCGGCACCGAUCGGAAAGGGGAUGUGGACGCUCCUUCUGUGCAGAGGGAGGGUGGGUAUCCGCGUGACGCCACUCAAUCGCUCGCGACGGUGACGGUGGCGGCUGCCAGUGAAAAAUCAUCGUUGUCUUUGGUGGGUGCGGAACAACCGGCAGCGAUAGAGAACGCGUUGGCGGAAUCUUUGCCGGUGAAAGACGCACCUGCCUCACGCGCCGUGCUCUCUCGUUCGAGCUGCGUCGCCAUCGGCAGAGAAAACAGGCCAACUGAGAAGGCGAUGGGAAGCCUGGCUUUGAGCGUGGACAGUGUGCCUCCUCAAAGCCACGCGGAAUCGAUCCGUUCGGUGCAGGAGACCGGUGUCUUCACCUCAGAUGGCACCGUAGGUUCACGAACUGCCGUUGUCGCCUCUCUGCCUCACCCACUUUCUGACACACAUGCAGGGGCGGCUGUGGCGAAGGCAGAGGGCCGACAGAAUGAUGUGGUGCCGUGCGACGGGGCGGAGGCUGCACCGGCGCCGUGCAUUGCUACGAUUCGAUCAGCCACAUCUUCCGUGCGGGAGAGUGCGCAGCCGAAGGAGGUGAGCGACAUCCCACUCAGCGUGGCGGCGGUACAGCCUGAAGACGCGACUUUGCAUCGAUCUCGCUCCUCCUCGGCAGAGGUCGGCGGUGCAAAUCGCGCCGAGCGCACGGCGGUCGUGGGCGUGAACACUCCUCCCUCGUUAUCGACAUGGCCGCGCACAGUUGAGCUCGCCUUUGCCACGGCCUCCUUUCUGACCACCGAGCACGGCUCCUUUUCUCUGCACUUCACAGAGGCGGAGCAGUCGCCCCGGGAACGAUCGGUGUAUGCGCGGCAAGCCGCAUCGCUCAGCAACGGUGGAGGCGAAGAGCUGGGAGAGGGUGUGCCGCACAGCCACGCGCCAACGCCGCUGCACUGUCGCCUCCCGCCGCAGAGGAGGCAGGCGACAUCGCCGUACGAAGGAGUGCAGCUGCCAGAUGCCUCCGCGGCCGAGGAGCGCAAGCGCGACGCGCCGCUUGCUCAGGCGUUUUCCCGGUCCGACACCUCGACGCGGUGUCUGUGUGCUGCCUCGGCCGAGUUCCAAGCGGACGUGCACGUACGGGCGCACACGAACGAGAGAGCGGAAGGGACUCCCGCGGUACCUUUCGGAGCCUCCGUUAACGGCGUCUCUUCGAUGAGGGAACAGAGCAGGCGGGCGGCCGCGCAGGACAGCGUCGCUCUCGACAGAUCCGCCCCACCCAGUGCAGACGCAACUUUGGAGCUGGCAGCAGUGUGUGCUCCGUUUUCUCACGACUCCCCUGCGCGCCCGCUUUCUUCGUCGACAUCGAGCAGCACCCACUUUCUGGCUCGCAGCCCCUCUUGUUCUUCACAGUCCAGCAGCUCCCCCACGACCCCGACGGCGACGGGUCGCUUUAUGCCCAGCUCGCUGGGGCGGCUCGAUACACCGAAUCAGGGUGAUGGCGGGAAGGUGGAUUUCGAGCUGAGGGCCGACGAUGACUGCAAUGGGUUAUUGACAGGCAACGCAGCUGACGCUAACCGAAGCACUUUCUCGCGCAGCACGUCAUGCGAUUUACUGGAGCAUGCUGCACUGGUGCAGCUCACCGAGCCGACCUCUACCGACGCCGCGGUGAUCACGACGCCGUUUCGGCCAAGCUCUCCUGUUCCCGGCAGUGAAUUCAGCACGACUUGCUCGCAGAUAUCCGAGCGCAUCACGUGGAGCGCCGGCACAUGGGUCGAUCGGGAGCGCGCUAGCGCUUCACCAGACCAUGCGGAGGCGGGAGUGGCCGAGAGCGACUUGGGGGUGCUCCGCAAGGGGACGCGGUCUGCCCCGUCAGUGCCCCUUACGCGAGUGAGGUACUUGAACCAAGAUAUGUGAAUCACCUGCCCGGCAGCGGCGCGCUAACCUCUGCAUCGGUGUGCGUGUGAGUAUCAAGAUGACGGCGUACACUCCCUUGUUGUUCUCUCUCGCUGCGGCUCACUGCCCUCGAAUAUUGUG